Molecule: small nuclear RNA, 104 nt
Filed under: Equus asinus (donkey)
Lineage: Eukaryota; Metazoa; Chordata; Mammalia; Perissodactyla; Equidae
Source: RNAcentral
GUGCUCGCUUCAGCAGCACGUAUAUUAAAAUUGGAAAAAUACAGAGAUUAGUAUGACCCCUGUGCAAAGAUGACAUGCAAUUUCUUGAAGCAUUCCAUAUUUUA